RNAcentral lists this ribosomal RNA (465 nucleotides) under uncultured bacterium. RNAcentral describes it as "partial 16S ribosomal RNA". It matches the Rfam family "Bacterial small subunit ribosomal RNA", at positions 28 to 507 of the family's 1533-position model. The record is from RNAcentral.
GACGAACGCUGGCGGCGUGCUUAACACAUGCAAGUCGAACGGAAAGGCCCCUUUGGGGGUCCUCGAGUGGCGAACGGGGGAGUAACACGUGAGUAACCUGCCCUUGCCUUCGGGAUAACUUCAGGAAACUGGGGCUAAUACCGGAUAGGAAUCCUUGCUGCAUGGUGGGGGUUGGAAAGCUUCGGCGGUGUUGGAUGGACUCGCGGCUUAUCAGCUUGUUGGUGGGGUAGUGGCUUACCAAGGCUUUGACGGGUAGCCGGCCUGAGAGGGCGACCGGCCACAUUGGGACUGAGAUACGGCCCAGACUCCUACGGGAGGCAGCAGUGGGGAAUAUUGCACAAUGGGCGGAAGCCUGAUGCAGCAACGCCGCGUGCGGGAUGACGGCCUUCGGGUUGUAAACCGCUUUCAGCAGGGGCGAAGCUUGUGGUGACGGUACCUGCAGAAGAAGCACCGGCUAACUACGUG